This is a long non-coding RNA of Siniperca chuatsi (mandarin fish), 1645 nucleotides long. RefSeq lists it as uncharacterized. The record is from RefSeq and is a predicted model, not a curated record. The transcript has 3 exons. Lineage: Eukaryota; Metazoa; Chordata; Actinopteri; Centrarchiformes; Sinipercidae.
CGCAAGGGCAGAACAUCGGGGGGGUCUUGGUGAGGUAUAAAGGAGAUCUUUCCCGUCAGAUUUGACCAGUUAAACAGGGUAAAUCACACAUUUGGUUAAGGUUAAAGCCUGGGCAGAACUGAUAGACCCCUGUCUCUCUGUGCUGUUCAUAUACCCACAGCAGAUUCUCCUUAUUCUGAAGACGACAUUUCUGAAACUCUCCACUCAGAAAUCUCCAGUUUCCAGGCCCAGGAACUGAACCUGAUGUCAUCGACCCACAGGGCAACAACCAUGUGUUCGGGCAGUCUCUGCUGUUUACCACACCAACCCUCAGCCCUCGGGACAACCUGGACUCUGAAAUCAACCGAAGCGGCAGGGAGGCAGUGCAACUGUCGGGCCUUGGGCCUGUGCAUAGUUAUCGGUAGGUUCAGAGGGGACUCUUUAUGGGGGUUUCACCUACUCCUCAGCUCCUGGGUCGACUGUAGUAGACUACGCAGUCACUGACAUGGACCCUCCACCAUCAGUGCUUUCACUGUCAGACAGAAACCCCCCCUUUCAGACCACAACCAAGUAAAUGUGUUCUUUACACUCUCAGGUCAAAGGAGUGACACGAACAGGGAACCCAGGAAGCUGUAUAAAUUAAACCCUACUUACAGAUGGGCCCCAGACAGUGGAGACAAAUUCAUCACCUGAUCUGAUGACUGACAUAUCAGCAUAUAACCAAAAUCAAUACGUCCCUACCUGAGAUGGUGUAAAGGCCACUGAUGAUAUCAACAUGAUAUUUCAUGAGGCAGCUGUUAAAGCUGACCUUAUAAAACAAAAAUGGAAGCCUGUUAAAAAGCAAAACGCAGACAAAUGGUUUGAUCAACAAUAUUACACCCACAUGAAACACAAUUAAUUGAAAUCAAUCCUGGGAUCUGUGGAACAUCUUCAACACAAAGCAGCAGCAAGCUCUGCCCAUCCAACAUGGUGACAUCUGGAGAGCACAUUCUGAAAAUCUGUACAAAGACAUUCCAAUAAAUCUAAUUAAUCCAGAUCAAUGUGUUAUAAAGGAAAAACUCCAAACAUGAGAAGAAACAAUUAAAGGCAACCAAAAGCCCCUUGAUUUCCCGAUUACUUGGGAACAACUGACCACACAGACAGAGUCUCUCCGGCCAGGGAAAGCUUGUGGUCCGGACAGCGUUAACAACGAAAUGCUGAAACGCAGCACCCCAGAGAUGCAGGGUGCUGAAGCUGUCCAGCACCGUCCUUCAGUCAGGAUGGACGCCAAACAGGAAAUGGCGUUGGAGCUCCUGCUGCUGCGGAUCGUCCUCGCAGACGCGCCGAGGACGGAGCAGAGACACGAAACUGAUUAAAGCGUCUUCAGUAUCGCUUUCCGCUCCCGGUGGUUUCACACGCGGAUGCAUUUCUCCUCGCUGCAGGGACGCUCCCUCGCGUCUCUCCGGCCGCCGGGGGAAACCCGCAGAGUCUCCGUCAACGCAGGACCGGACCAACGCUUCCACUGAGGUGCGGAAGCAGCUGGAGAGUGAAAGGAAAGGUUAAAUAUCCUGGAGAUGAUGCGUUUAUUUGUUUUUCUUCUUCUUGGUGAGAGCGAACUGCAUGGAGGUGUUUUCAGCAGGAGGAGGAGGAGGAAGAAGAAGAUCUGGAGGAGCAGGAGGAGACAGAG